Molecule: ribosomal RNA, 422 nt
Filed under: uncultured bacterium
Lineage: Bacteria
Description: bacterial SSU rRNA
Rfam family: Bacterial small subunit ribosomal RNA
Source: RNAcentral
UGAGGAAUAUUGGUCAAUGGGUGCGAGCCUGAACCAGCCAUCCCGCGUGAAGGACGACUGCCCUAUGGGUUGUAAACUUCUUUUGUAUAGGGAUAAACCUACCCUCGUGAGGGUAGCUGAAGGUACUAUACGAAUAAGCACCGGCUAACUCCGUGCCAGCAGCCGCGGUAAUACGGAGGGUGCAAGCGUUAUCCGGAUUUAUUGGGUUUAAAGGGUCCGUAGGCGGACUUAUAAGUCAGUGGUGAAAGCCUGUCGCUUAACGAUAGAACUGCCAUUGAUACUGUAAGUCUUGAGUAUAUUUGAGGUAGCUGGAAUAAGUAGUGUAGCGGUGAAAUGCAUAGAUAUUACUUAGAACACCUAUUGCGGAGGCAGGUUACCAAGAUAUAACUGACGCUGAGGGACGAAAGCGUGGGGAGCGAACA